RNAcentral lists this unclassified non-coding RNA (345 nucleotides) under soil metagenome. Its description in RNAcentral is "partial contains 5.8S ribosomal RNA, internal transcribed spacer 2, and large subunit ribosomal RNA". The stretch from base 1 to 119 matches the Rfam family "5.8S ribosomal RNA", at positions 35 to 154 of the family's 154-position model. The record is from RNAcentral.
GAUGAAGAACGCAGCGAAAUGCGAUAAGUAAUGCGAAUUGCAAAUUCAGUGAAUCAUCGAGUCUUUGAACGCACAUUGCGCCCCCUGGUAUUCCGGGGGGCAUGCCUGUCCGAGCGUCAUUGCUGCCCUCAAGCACGGCUUGUGUGUUGGGCCCCGUCCUCCGAUCCCGGGGGACGGGCCCGAAAGGCAGCGGCGGCACCGCGUCCGGUCCUCGAGCGUAUGGGGCUUUGUCACCCGCUCUGUAGGCCCGGCCGGCGCUUGCCGAUCAACCCAAAUUUUUAUCCAGGUUGACCUCGGAUCAGGUAGGGAUACCCGCUGAACUUAAGCAUAUCAAUAAGCGGAGGA